GACGAACGCUGGCGGCGUGCUUAACACAUGCAAGUCGAACGAAGUGGCGAACGGGUGAGUAACGCGUAAUAAACCUGCCCUUCAGAGGGGGACAACAGUUGGAAAAGACUGCUAAUACCGCAUACUGAAGGAGGGGAUUGCGUCUGAUUAGGUAGUUGGAGGGGUAACGGCCCACCAGUGCGAUGUUCAGUAGCCGGUCUGAGAGGAUGAUCGGCAACAUUUGGGCUGUGACACGACACAGACUCCUACGGGAGGCAGCAGUGGGGAUUCUUCCGCAAUGGACGAAAGUCUGACUGAGCAACGCCGCGUGAGUGAUGACGGCCUUCGGUUUGUAAAGCUCUGUUAAUCGGGACGCGGUACCGGAAUAGAAAGCCACGGCUAACUACGUGCCAGCAGCCGCGGUAAUUC
RNAcentral lists this ribosomal RNA (408 nucleotides) under uncultured bacterium. RNAcentral's name for it is "partial 16S ribosomal RNA". It matches the Rfam family "Bacterial small subunit ribosomal RNA", at positions 28 to 526 of the family's 1533-position model. The record is from RNAcentral.